GCUUUCUGAGGUGCUGUGGUGUUACUCUGUGUGGGUUAGAAGCCUUCUGAUGAGAGACACUUCCUCUUGAAGCUGCUGAAAAGGUGUGGAUACUUUGAACUUUCAAGAAAAAGUCAGCCAGUGGACAUUUGGAAGUCAAGAUGGGCAGACUGAUUGAGUUCAGCUGUGCCUCUUGGUGAGCUCUUAGGAGCAGGAGUGGUGAUUUCCAGCUCUUGCCUGCUGAAGACUAAAUGCACCUGUCAGAAAUGGAGUUAAUUUUCUUUAUACCAGUCCCAUGUGGUGCCACAUUUCAGGUUUGUGACUAAACCUGCGUUCUGGCUGUUUCUCAUUAGUAACUGCAGAGCAGCAAGGUUUGCUCUUGCUCUGCCACACCUGGGGUGGGCAAAAAGAAACUGGGCACCACACAACUGGUGCAGCUGGCCCAGACUGACCAGUGGAGUAUUUCAUGCCAUGUGAUGUCAUGCUCAGCAA
Long non-coding RNA from Zonotrichia leucophrys gambelii, 471 nucleotides. RefSeq lists it as uncharacterized. The record is from RefSeq and is a predicted model, not a curated record. NCBI's taxonomy places the organism in Eukaryota, Metazoa, Chordata, Aves, Passeriformes, Passerellidae. The transcript has 3 exons.